CCACUGCGCUAUAGCCGCCCACGCGCCCCCGCCGCCUCCCUCUCCCCUUCCUCCCCCUCGAGCGCCGCCUCCCCCCGAGCCUCGCCUCCCCCCUCCCCCCCGAGCACCGCCUCCCUCGCCUUCCUCGAAACCCUAGAAACCCACAGGAGAUUUGGAGCCUCGGAGCCGCCGGAGACUUGGAGCCUCGGAGCCGCACCAUGUUCACCAGGAGAGGAGGCCCCACAUCCACCAGGAGAGGAGGCCCGCGACCUCCCCACCGUCUAUCCCCGCCUCCCCCAAGCUCGCUGUCUCUGCCCUCCGUCGUCUCCGCUCCGUCCACCACCUCAUCGUGGUCAGGACUCUGUUUUGUGUUGACCAUGAAUCACUGUGAAAAAUGCUCUUGUCAAGGUGAAAUCACUAUGAAAAAUUCUCUUGUCAAGGUGAAAUCUAAGCAGUACUGUACUGGCAAGAAAAAAAGGAUAAAAGACAAAAAUUAUUGUCAUCUAGGAAGGGGUCGUAUGGAACCGCAGAACUGUUAAGAGUGAUUUGGAGGAUUCAAGAUUCUGUGAAGCUCUUUUGACAUUUAAAACUCAGAACUGAAGGAUAUGUUGUCAUCAUCAUCGGACGA
Long non-coding RNA from Triticum aestivum (bread wheat), 607 nucleotides. RefSeq lists it as uncharacterized. Lineage: Eukaryota; Viridiplantae; Streptophyta; Magnoliopsida; Poales; Poaceae. The transcript is spliced from 4 exons. The record is from RefSeq and is a predicted model, not a curated record.